AGCAUUGUUUGAACAUGUAUAUAAGUGCAUGUGGGCGCGAACCACAUAUUUUAGCAAUGCAUGAUUUUUUCAAUAUGGGGAAGUUUUCCCGUUCGAACUUCCUGGUCGUAUUAGCUGUUGUGAGUGUUAUUGUUCUGACGAUAGAAAAUCGAGGUCCGCCAUUUGCCCUCGCUUCUCCACUUCCUGGGUGUUGUGGAAAUUUACAUCGCAAGAAGCGUCAAGCUUCGGGAAAACAAGAAAUACCAAAGUAUACGCCUCACCCCGCUCCGACAAUUAUUCAUUUUGAUCGAGGACAGCACCAUACACAACAUAGAGCACGACGCACCUCUACAAGCGACGGAACUCAAGACACGAACCACGGCGCCAAGCCCCACCACAGAGAGAUAUAUCACACACGACUCCGGUAAUAAUUUUGAUCAAGGACUGCAGCCGGAACAACAAGAACGACAACGCUCAUCUAUAAACCUGACCGCUCAACUCAUGGGUGAUCCCAUAUAGCACAUUAUGGUAAACAAGUUUCGGCCUGACAAUGCACACGCUACGGGAACUGCUAGUUUUCUCGCAAGAAUUUACAAAACGUACUUUCUCAUUAAUAAUUUUUAUUAUCGGGGGUCUUCAGGAAUAUCCUGGAUAUAAACUUUAAGGCCAACGUUGUUUACAAGAAAGUAUGAGUACUUUGGAACAAUAAAAUUGCUUUUGAAGUCGCAGUUUCUUUCCCAAACAAUUCUUCAGAAACAGGAUGAAGGCUUGUGGAGCAUUUGCUUCAAGUCUGUAGGUAUUUUUCAGUAAUCCGGUAAUGUCAUGUGGUAAUGAAUCAAAGCAGCAUCACUUACCCGCAAGUAAAUCUUGAUAUCUUCAUACCAUUUCUGCAACCAAAUCGGGCUCAUCUAGACACGCGAUAUUUAGUUGUAAACUAAAGAAAAUAAGUGAAAACGGGAGCGUAAAUAAAUAACUGGUAGCAACCCCAGGCACGCAAAUGCCACAACUCCAUAAGAAAAUCUACAAAUCACGGUAUUCGCGACAUACCGGUUAAAUUUUAAACCUUACAAAGCGGCGUACGCUUGCGAUACUAUGUGAAUUCUCAGCUUCAAAAGCAUCAACGCUUGCAUUCUUGUUUGAUAUCGUUUGGCAAUGUUAUUAUUUUCAUUUAUAUUAUUAAAAUAUCGCAGUUAUUGUAACUGUCUAUGGGUACAGUUGCACAGCGCCUAAAAAGACACGGAUAUGACGUGUUUCUAUACAGCUGUAAAGUGCGCGGCCCAGACUUUCGGUCUAUUAUUGAUGGUACGUCAUGCUAUUAUAAACAGAGUGUCAAUUUAAUAAUUGGUCAUAACGCGAUGGUGAAACGCGUAUGCUCAGAAGCAAUGACAGUUUUGCUGCUCAUUCACUAAUAAACUCCAUAAAUGUGCAAAGUCUUUCCUUGCUAUAUGCAGGAGAGCAGGGCGCAUCACACUUGCAUACUCAUGUUCGCAGGUGAGCAAACGCGUGAAAACGACGUGAGGUGACCCGUGGCGCCACAAAGCGGUGACUGUUGCCGGGAUCACCGUCGAACACGUGACGGAAACGUGCCAGGAACGCAGUAUCGUCUUUAACACCCUUAUAAGCGUACAGGCUGCAAAACAUUUCUUUCCACAGAAGUACUGACUGACAAAUACAAUGUCCAAAAUACAAAAAUACAAAUACAAAAAAGUACAAUGUCAAUGAUGUAAAUGUACAAUGAUGGCAGCGCUCUCAGACGAGCUCAGUACGAAUUUACUGUCACCUUCUUCGACAGCAAACUUUAAGAAAAGUCGCAGUUUCGCCCGGAAGACGAAGCAUCCAAUGCCAUAGUAAGCUAGCGGACAGCUAUACGUAGUAAGGAUAACAGCUUUAUCGGCCGUGUAAACUUGGAACUAGGAAGCGCGGCAGCAGCGAGCGAAUUGACCUUCGUGCUGCGUCUCGCAUCAACGCGAACUAAGCCGCUAAAACACAGCGCACGGUGGACUGUGUCCCCGACGCAGAAGGCUGUCAAGAUACAGCGGCCCGGGCGGGCGCGCGCGGCCACCGGAGCCGCCCGGAGUAGAGAAUAAAGUUUUUUCCCCCUCCUCCUCCCGGAGUAGAACGCCU
Molecule: long non-coding RNA, 2103 nt
Organism: Dermacentor silvarum
Lineage: Eukaryota; Metazoa; Arthropoda; Arachnida; Ixodida; Ixodidae
Exons: 3
Source: RefSeq, a predicted model, not a curated record